Molecule: long non-coding RNA, 1054 nt
Filed under: Homo sapiens (human)
Lineage: Eukaryota; Metazoa; Chordata; Mammalia; Primates; Hominidae
Description: long non-coding RNA NONHSAT180564.1
Source: RNAcentral
GCGGAUCGUGUUGGGUGCGGGUGACGCCGCCGAGCGUGAGUGUCCCUCAGUAUGGAUUAAACUUGCGAACCGCCGUGCCCCGUUUCCGCAGCCAGUUCCCGGGCUCGCUACAGACCUUUUUUUUUUUCUUUUUUUUUUUUUUUGGUGAGACGGAGAUUUACUCUUGUUGUCCAGGCUGGAGUGCAAUGGCGCGAUUUCGGCUCACCGCAUCCUCCGCCUCCCAGGUUCAAGCGAUUCUCCUGCCUCAGCCUCCCGAGUAGCUGGGAUUACAGGCAUGUGCCACCACGCCCGGCUAAUUUUGUAUUUUUAGUAGAGACGGGGUUUCACCGUGUUGCCCAGGCUGAUCUCGAACUCCUGACCUCAGGAAGAACCCUUGAAGAAGAGGAAGAGGAAAGAAAGACAAGUCAGGCAUGGCUCUCACCCAGGAUAUUACAGAGUAUACAGAUGAACAGCCAGAUGUAAGCAGUCUAUUGGGGACAGGUGACAUUCAGGGAUGUGGCUAUAGAAUUCUCUCAGGAGGAGUGGACAUGCCUGGACCCCGCUCAGAGGACUUUGUACAGGGACGUGAUGUUGGAGAAUUAUAGGAACCUGGCCUCCCUGGGAAUCUCUUGUUUUGACCUCAGUAUUAUCUCUAUGUUGGAGCAAGGGAAGGAGCCUUUCACUUUGGAGAGCCAAGUACAAAUAGCAGGAAACCCAGAUGGAUGGGAAUGGAUCAAAGCUGUGAUCACAGCUCUCUCUUCCGAAUUUGUAAUGAAAGAUUUACUACACAAAGGGAAGAGUAAUACAGGAGAAGUAUUCCAAACAGUGAUGUUGGAAAGACAGGAAAGCCAAGACAUUGAAGGAUGUUCCUUCAGGGAAGUCCAGAAAAAUACACAUGGCCUUGAGUAUCAAUGCAGAGAUGCUGAAGGAAAUUACAAAGGAGUGCUUUUGACCCAAGAAGGCAAUCUCACUCAUGGAAGAGAUGAACAUGAUAAAAGAGAUGCAAGAAACAAGCUUAUUAAAAAUCAGCUUGGAUUAAGCCUUCAGUCACAUCUGCCUGAACUGCAGCUUUUUC